GCCAGACUCCUACGGGAGGCAGCAGUGGGGAAUAUUGCACAAUGGGGGGAACCCUGAUGCAGCGACGCCGCGUGGGCGAGGAAGUAUUUCGGUAUGUAAAGCCCUAUCGGCAGGGAAGAAGAAAUGACGGUACCUGACUAAGAAGCCCCGGCUAACUACGUGCCAGCAGCCGCGGGAAUACGUAGGGGGCAAGCGUUAUCCGGAUUUACUGGGUGUAAAGGGGGCGCAGACGGCAGCGCAAGCCAGGAGUGAAAGCCCGCGGCCCAACCGCGGGACUGCAUUGGGAACUGGCGCGCUGGAGUGCCGGAGGGGUAGGCGGAAUUCCUAGUGUAGCGGUGAAAUGCGUAGAUAUUAGGAGGAACACCAGUGGCGAAGGCGGCCUACUGGACGGUGACUGACGCUGAGGCUCGAAAGCGUGGGGAGCAAACAGGAUUAGAUACCCCGGUA
RNAcentral lists this ribosomal RNA (447 nucleotides) under uncultured bacterium. RNAcentral's name for it is "partial 16S ribosomal RNA". It matches the Rfam family "Bacterial small subunit ribosomal RNA", at positions 330 to 792 of the family's 1533-position model. The record is from RNAcentral.